GACGGGGGGUCCAAGCGUUGUUCGGAACUCAUUGGGCGAUAAAGCGUGUGCAGGGUGGUUACUUGUAAGUUGGAUGGAUGAAAGCCCCCGGGGCCUCAACUCGGGAAGUGCAUUCAAAACUACAAAACUUGAGUAGGAAGAGGGUCGUGGAAUUCCUGGUGUAGUGGUGAAAUACGUAGAUAUCAGGAGGAACACCGGUGGCGAAGGCGGCGACCUGGUCCUAUACUGACACUCAUACACGAAAGCGUGGGGAUCAAACAGG
This 262-nucleotide ribosomal RNA is filed under the name uncultured bacterium. Its description in RNAcentral is "partial 16S ribosomal RNA". It matches the Rfam family "Bacterial small subunit ribosomal RNA", at positions 524 to 776 of the family's 1533-position model. The record is from RNAcentral.